RNAcentral lists this ribosomal RNA (488 nucleotides) under uncultured bacterium. Its description in RNAcentral is "bacterial SSU rRNA". It matches the Rfam family "Bacterial small subunit ribosomal RNA", at positions 903 to 1397 of the family's 1533-position model. The record is from RNAcentral.
AAAUGAAUUGACGGGAGCCCGCACAAGCAGUGGAGUAUGUGGUUUAAUUCGAAGCAACGCGAAGAACCUUACCGGAGCUUGACAUCCGCAGAAGGCUGGGUAAAUCCGGCCGUGCCCUUCGGGGAGCUGCGAGACAGGUGGUGCAUGGUUGUCGUCAGCUCGUGUCGUGAGAUGUUGGGUUAAGUCCCGCAACGAGCGCAACCCUUACUGUUAGUUGCUACGGAAGAGCACUCUAACAGGACUGCCGUUGACAAAACGGAGGAAGGUGGGGACGACGUCAAAUCAUCAUGCCCCUUACGUUCCGGGCUACACACGUACUACAAUGGCGUAACAGAGGGGAGCAAGGGCGCGAGCCGGAGCAAAUCCCAAAAUAACGCCCCAGUUCAGAUUGCAGGCUGCAACUCGCCUGCAUGAAGUCGGAAUUGCUAGUAAUCGCGAAUCAGCAUGUCGCGGUGAAUACGUUCCCGGGCUUUGUACACACCGCCCGU